Molecule: ribosomal RNA, 253 nt
Filed under: uncultured bacterium
Lineage: Bacteria
Description: partial 16S ribosomal RNA
Rfam family: Bacterial small subunit ribosomal RNA
Source: RNAcentral
UACGGGGGGGGCAAGCGUUGUUCGGAAUUACUGGGCGUAAAGGGCUCGUAGGCGGCCAAUUAAGUCGGACGUGAAAUCCCUCGGCUUAACCGGGGAACUGCGUCCGAUACUGGAUGGCUUGAGUUCGGGAGAGGGAUGCGGAAUUCCAGGUGUAGCGGUGAAAUGCGUAGAUAUCUGGAGGAACACCGGUGGCGAAGGCGGCAUCCUGGACCGACACUGACGCUGAGGAGCGAAAGCCAGGGGAGCAAACGGG